UACGUAGGGUCCGAGCGUUGUCCGGAAUUACUGGGCGUAAAGAGCUCGUAGGUGGUUUGUCGCGUUGUUCGUGAAAACUCACAGCUCAACUGUGGGCGUGCGGGCGAUACGGGCAGACUAGAGUACUGCAGGGGAGACUGGAAUUCCUGGUGUAGCGGUGGAAUGCGCAGAUAUCAGGAGGAACACCGGUGGCGAAGGCGGUUCUCUGGGCCUGUACUGACGCUGAGGAGCGAAAGCGUGGGGAGCGAACAGG
Molecule: ribosomal RNA, 253 nt
Filed under: uncultured bacterium
Lineage: Bacteria
Description: partial 16S ribosomal RNA
Rfam family: Bacterial small subunit ribosomal RNA
Source: RNAcentral